CAGUUUUCUCCCACAGUCUAUGGAUGGAGAAUCUGUUUUCACAGAGGUUCUUACUGCGGGUGAUAUGUAAGGAAGAAUUCACCAGGGAGGAAGGGCCCACGAUGGUGAUGUGCCUGCUUCACAAGCCUGCAAAUGAGUAAGGAAACACAAGCCUCUGAGGGCAAGGAAAUCGAAAGAGUGUAAAGGGGCACAUUUUACAGCUACACCUUCACCCACUUUGACUGUGUCUUGGUUCCUGAUUUCUAAAAGAUCCAAAGGGCCAGAGGGACACUGUCUUCCAUGGGAAAGGAAGCAUACAAAAGGAACAGAAACUUCUCUGCAAAGCAUCAGUACAAACCCACUGGCCUGGAAUGAUAUUUAUCCUCUUAAUUAUGUUUUGCAAAAGACUGAUAAUAAAAGCAAUUUUCUAAGGAAAGGCUAAGAAAGUGUUUCAGAAUAAAAAAAGACUAAAG
RNAcentral lists this long non-coding RNA (452 nucleotides) under Mus spicilegus (steppe mouse). Its description in RNAcentral is "lncRNA (ENSMSIG00000000831.1)". Lineage: Eukaryota; Metazoa; Chordata; Mammalia; Rodentia; Muridae. The record is from RNAcentral.